This is a small nucleolar RNA of Delphinapterus leucas (beluga whale), 80 nucleotides long. Its record names the gene SNORD115. It matches the Rfam family "Small nucleolar RNA SNORD115". From Rfam's summary of the family: HBII-52 is a member of the C/D class of snoRNAs, which contain the C (UGAUGA) and D (CUGA) box motifs. HBII-52 is encoded in a tandemly repeated array with another C/D snoRNA, HBII-85, in the Prader-Willi syndrome (PWS) region of chromosome 15. HBII-52 is exclusively expressed in the brain but is absent in PWS patients. NCBI's taxonomy places the organism in Eukaryota, Metazoa, Chordata, Mammalia, Artiodactyla, Monodontidae. The record is from Ensembl.
GGGUCAAUGAUGAGAACUCAUAUGGUCAUGAAGAGAGAUGAGGACCAAAAAUCAUGCUCAAUAGGAUUACGCUGAGGCCC